GAGGAGUUCGAUAACACGUGCUGCGCAGAGAAGAGGAAAAAACUCUGGGACCUACUGGAGAAGCCCAAUUCCUCUGUGGCUGCCAAGGAGAAAACAGAUUUUCAGUUCUUGUCUGAGGUCACUCAGUAAGGGAAGCUGAAGAAGAUGUGGAAGGAGCCCCCCACGGUGGCUG
Molecule: small RNA, 172 nt
Filed under: Pan troglodytes (chimpanzee)
Lineage: Eukaryota; Metazoa; Chordata; Mammalia; Primates; Hominidae
Description: processed transcript
Source: RNAcentral